This 73-nucleotide transfer RNA is filed under the name Bacteroidota bacterium. Its description in RNAcentral is "Bacteroidetes bacterium (activated sludge metagenome) tRNA-Arg". It matches the Rfam family "tRNA". From Rfam's summary of the family: Transfer RNA (tRNA) molecules are approximately 80 nucleotides in length. Their secondary structure includes four short double-helical elements and three loops (D, anti-codon, and T loops). The record is from RNAcentral. RNAcentral also lists the same sequence under 1 other name. Lineage: Bacteria; Pseudomonadati; Bacteroidota.
GGAUCUGUAGCUUAAAGGGAAAAGCAUCUGGCUUCUAACCGGAUAGAUGUGGGUUCGAUUCCUACCGGAUCUU